UAGGGAAUCUUCGGCAAUGGGGGCAACCCUGACCGAGCAACGCCGCGUGAGUGAAGAAGGUUUUCGGAUCGUAAAGCUCUGUUGUAAGAGAAGAACGAGUGUGAGAGUGGAAAGUUCACACUGUGACGGUAUCUUACCAGAAAGGGACGGCUAACUACGUGCCAGCAGCCGCGGUAAUACGUAGGUCCCGAGCGUUGUCCGGAUUUAUUGGGCGUAAAGCGAGCGCAGGCGGUUAGAUAAGUCUGAAGUUAAAGGCUGUGGCUUAACCAUAGUACGCUUUGGAAACUGUUUAACUUGAGUGCAAGAGGGGAGAGUGGAAUUCCAUGUGUAGCGGUGAAAUGCGUAGAUAUAUGGAGGAACACCGGUGGCGAAAGCGGCUCUCUGGCUUGUAACUGACGCUGAGGCUCGAAAGCGUGGGGAGCAAACAGGAUUAGAUACCCUGGUAGUCCACGCCGUAAACGAUGAGUGCUAGGUGUUAGACCCUUUCCGGGGUUUAGUGCCGUAGCUAACGCAUUAAGCACUCCGCCUGGGGGAGUACGACCGCAAGGGUUG
Molecule: ribosomal RNA, 552 nt
Filed under: uncultured bacterium
Lineage: Bacteria
Description: bacterial SSU rRNA
Rfam family: Bacterial small subunit ribosomal RNA
Source: RNAcentral